Molecule: transfer RNA, 72 nt
Filed under: Dreissena polymorpha
Lineage: Eukaryota; Metazoa; Mollusca; Bivalvia; Myida; Dreissenidae
Rfam family: tRNA
About the family: Transfer RNA (tRNA) molecules are approximately 80 nucleotides in length. Their secondary structure includes four short double-helical elements and three loops (D, anti-codon, and T loops). Further hydrogen bonds mediate the characteristic L-shaped molecular structure. tRNAs have two regions of fundamental functional importance: the anti-codon, which is responsible for specific mRNA codon recognition, and the 3' end, to which the tRNAs corresponding amino acid is attached (by aminoacyl-tRNA synthetases). tRNAs cope with the degeneracy of the genetic code in two manners: having more than one tRNA (with a specific anti-codon) for a particular amino acid; and 'wobble' base-pairing, i.e. permitting non-standard base-pairing at the 3rd anti-codon position.
Source: Rfam by way of RNAcentral
ACUCCAAAGCUCAGUGAUUAGAGCGCCAGUCUAGUAAACUGAAGCUCGUGAGUUCAAUACCCACUGGAAGUU